RNAcentral lists this ribosomal RNA (1090 nucleotides) under Bacillus subtilis. RNAcentral's name for it is "bacterial SSU rRNA". It matches the Rfam family "Bacterial small subunit ribosomal RNA", at positions 34 to 1122 of the family's 1533-position model. Lineage: Bacteria; Bacillati; Bacillota; Bacilli; Caryophanales; Bacillaceae. The record is from RNAcentral.
CGGCAUGGCGGGCGUGCUAUACAUGCAAGUCGAGCGGACAGAUGGGAGCUUGCUCCCUGAUGUUAGCGGCGGACGGGUGAGUAACACGUGGGUAACCUGCCUGUAAGACUGGGAUAACUCCGGGAAACCGGGGCUAAUACCGGAUGGUUGUUUGAACCGCAUGGUUCAAACAUAAAAGGUGGCUUCGGCUACCACUUACAGAUGGACCCGCGGCGCAUUAGCUAGUUGGUGAGGUAACGGCUCACCAAGGCAACGAUGCGUAGCCGACCUGAGAGGGUGAUCGGCCACACUGGGACUGAGACACGGCCCAGACUCCUACGGGAGGCAGCAGUAGGGAAUCUUCCGCAAUGGACGAAAGUCUGACGGAGCAACGCCGCGUGAGUGAUGAAGGUUUUCGGAUCGUAAAGCUCUGUUGUUAGGGAAGAACAAGUACCGUUCGAAAUAGGGCGGUACCUUGACGGUACCUAACCAGAAAGCCACGGCUAACUACGUGCCAGCAGCCGCGGUAAUAACGUAGGUGGCAAGCGUUGUCCGGAAUUAUUGGGCGUAAAGGGGCUCGCAGGCGGUUUCUUAAGUCUGAUGUGAAAGCCCCCGGCUCAACCCGGGGGAGGGUCAUUGGAAACUGGGGAAACUUGAGUGCAGAAGAGGAGAGUGGAAUUCCACGUGUAGCGGUGAAAUGCGUAGAGAAUGUGGAGGAACACCAGUGGCGAAGGCGACUCUCUGGUCUGUAACUGACGCUGAGGAGCGAAAGCGUGGGGAGCGAACAGGAUUAGAUACCCUGGUAGUCCACGCCGUAAACGAUGAGUGCUAAGUGUUUAGGGGUUUCCGCCCCUUAGUGCUGCAGCUAACGCAUUAAGCACUCCGCCUGGGGAGUACGGUCGCAAGACUGAAACUCAAAGGAAUUGACGGGGCCCGCACAGCGGUGAGCAUGUGUUUAAUUCGAAGCAACGCGAAGAACCUUACCAGUCUUGACAUCCUCUGACAUCCUAGAGAUAGACGUCCCUUCGGGGCAGAGUGACAGUGUGCAUGUGUCGUCAGCUCUGUCUGAAAUGUGGUAAGUCCCGCACAGCGCACCUGAUCUAGUGCCAGC